CAGGCCUAACACAUGCAAGUCGAGGGGUAUAGUAGCAAUACUAGAGACCGGCGCACGGGUGCGUAACGCGUAUGCAACCUACCUUUCACAGAGGGAUAGCCCAGAGAAAUUUGGAUUAAUACCUCAUAGUAUAAUGAUGUGGCAUCACAUUAUUAUUAAAGUUCCAACGGUGAAAGAUGGGCAUGCGUCCCAUUAGCUAGAUGGUAAGGUAACGGCUUACCAUGGCAACGAUGGGUAGGGGUCCUGAGAGGGAGAUCCCCCACACUGGUACUGAGACACGGACCAGACUCCUACGGGAGGCAGCAGUGAGGAAUAUUGGACAAUGGGCGCAAGCCUGAUCCAGCCAUGCCGCGUGCAGGAUGAAGCAUCUAUGGUGUGUAAACUGCUUUUGUACGAGAAGAAACACUGCUUCGUGAAGCAGCUUGACGGUAUCGUAAGAAUAAGGAUCGGCUAACUCCGUGCCAGCAGCCGCGGUAAUACGGAGGAUCCAAGCGUUAUCCGGAAUCAUUGGGUUUAAAGGGUCCGUAGCGGGUCUUAUAAGUCAGUGGUGAAAUCUCCCCGCUCAACGGGGAAACGGCCAUUGAUACUGUAGGACUUGAAUUAUUAGGAAGUAACUAGAAUAUGUAGUGUAGCGGUGAAAUGCUUAGAGAUUACAUGGAAUACCAAUUGCGAAGGCAGGUUACUACUAAUGGAUUGACGCUGAUGGACGAAAGCGUGGGUAGCGACAGGAUUAGAUACCCUGGUAGUCACGGCGUAAACGAUGG
RNAcentral lists this ribosomal RNA (764 nucleotides) under uncultured Bacteroidota bacterium. RNAcentral's name for it is "bacterial SSU rRNA". It matches the Rfam family "Bacterial small subunit ribosomal RNA", at positions 43 to 812 of the family's 1533-position model. Lineage: Bacteria; Pseudomonadati; Bacteroidota. The record is from RNAcentral.